AGUGAACGCUGGCGGUAGGCCUAACACAUGCAAGUCGAACGGCAGCACAGUAAGAGCUUGCUCUUACGGGUGGCGAGUGGCGGACGGGUGAGGAAUACAUCGGAAUCUACUUUUUCGUGGGGGAUAACGUAGGGAAACUUACGCUAAUACCGCAUACGACCUACGGGUGAAAGCAGGGGAUCUUCGGACCUUGCGCGAUUGAAUGAGCCGAUGUCGGAUUAGCUAGUUGGCGGGGUAAAGGCACACCAAGGCGACGAUCCGUAGCUGGUCUGAGAGGAUGAUCGGCCACACUGGAACUGAGACACGGUCCAGACUCCUACGGGAGGCAGCAGUGGGGAAUAUUGGACAAUGGGCGCAAGCCUGAUCCAGCCAUACCGCGUGGGUGAAGAAGGCCUUCGGGUCGUAAAGCCCUUUUGUUGGGAAAGAAAAGCAGCAGGUUAAUACCCCGCUGUUCUGACGGUACCCAAAGAAUAAGCACCGGCUAACUUCGUG
This 492-nucleotide ribosomal RNA is filed under the name uncultured bacterium. RNAcentral describes it as "partial 16S ribosomal RNA". It matches the Rfam family "Bacterial small subunit ribosomal RNA", at positions 29 to 507 of the family's 1533-position model. The record is from RNAcentral.